This is a long non-coding RNA of Physeter macrocephalus (sperm whale), 5669 nucleotides long. RefSeq lists it as uncharacterized. Lineage: Eukaryota; Metazoa; Chordata; Mammalia; Artiodactyla; Physeteridae. The transcript is spliced from 5 exons. The record is from RefSeq and is a predicted model, not a curated record.
UGUGCAACCACUUCUGGAGGCUCCGUGCGCAGCCCUGGGGAUAUAAGGGAGAGGUUACAGGAGUGUCUCAAAGCUGAUGAAGCUGAUAGACAAGGGGGUGCUGCCUCAGGAUGCCAAGCCCCCAAAAGACAUCCUGCUCCUGCCCGCCCUGGACUACCUAGAAUGGAUCAACAGUCUCCCGAGAUAUCUCCGGCACCAAGUCAUCCACCUCUCCCCAUCCUGCAGCCUCAAGGCGCAGAAGGAAAAGGAGUGUUUGUGGGAGCAGGAGGGUACUUCUUAACGGCCCCAGAAGACACUGCGUCAUGUAUUUCGUAGGGUCCUUGGGGGCCACCUAAGCAUCUUCUGAGUUCAUGGAGGGCCCUGGCCUGGCGUUUGCAGCCUUCUCCCAAGUCGUCUCGUUGUUCCCUGGUGCCUCUUUCUGGGCCAUCCUCUUCUUCGUGGCCCUGCUCAUCAUAGGGCCGAGCAACUUGAUGAAACUCUUGGAAGGCAUUGUCUUUCCCCUCCAGAACUCUAUCUCCAUCUGCAGGAAGUAUCCCAGGAUGCUCUCAGGUACUGUGGAUUCUCACCCCGGUGACAGGCUUGCCCUAGGCCCCUCCUCACCAGGCCACCCCCAAUCUCCAGGGCUCACUUUGACCCCGACCCAGCCCUACACAUAGACCUCAGUGUGGCCAAACCUGCCCCUGCCUUAGCGAUCAUCUUCUUGGGAGGUUUUCUGGGCAGCCUCAUCUUCACUAGUUGUGCCGGCAGCUACAUAAUGUCCUUGUUUGAUGCCCGCCUGGUCUCGCUGACCCUCGUCAUCACUGUGGUCUUCCAGAAUGUGGCCCUGGCCCGGAUAGAUGGAGCUAGGAGGUGAUGUCCAACUCCCGGGGUCUGCCCAGCCAGGGACCCCACUCCAGGUCUCUGAGGAGAGUUGUGGCGUGAUCUGCUUCCUCAGUCCUUCCCACAGCAGGGAGGUCCAGCUGAGGGCACAGCGGUACAGGAGGGAGUGAUCUGAGGGGAGCUGGGUGGUGAUGCAACAAGCAGUCAGGAUCGAGGGGACUCAUGUUCCCCUGCCAUUGGCCACGUGGGAUGGUCUGAAGGCAGAGAGGGCUGGGAGUGACGCACUCCCCCUGGAUGGGGGGGAUUCCCGUGGGGUGACGAUGCAGGGCCCAACGUCAGGGAGGGCCUGGCAGGGCUUCAAAGCUCCUAAAUGUUGAGAACUUGUGAGAGAAGCAGAGGCCUGGAGGGCCCACCCUCCCAAGGGCUCCAGGCCCUGGUGCCCAGAGGAGGGCUCCUUCCCAGAAGUCCCUGUCCAUCACCCCCACCCCAGGUUCAGGGAAGAAAUGUUCAGUGAGCUGGGCCACCCUCUGUGGCCCUCCUCCACAUUCCUGUGGUGCUACAUGACCUUGCCAGGGCUGCUGGCCCUCCUCACCAUCUGCCUCAUGCAGCUCUAUCAGGGGGCACACCUCUACGACAUUGCUUGGAACAGCAGUGUGGUGAGAUUCCCCCACCCCGGGCUACCACCCCCACCCUGGGGACCCCGCGUCAGAACACACCCCACAGGACCCUGAUUCUGGGCUCCUACCAUCCCAGGGGACCCUUUGACCAGCCCCUGGGGAAUCCGAUCCCCAGCAUCACGUGCACUGAAACCCCACCACCAGUGCCUCUUCCUCCCCGCCUGCCCCACUCUCUCUGCCCUCAGAGCCAGGAAGUAAAACAGCCCUACUGGCAAAACACCCUGGGCUGGGCCACCUUCCUGCCAAUCCCAGUCCACCCACUUCACCCUGGUAGUGCUCCCUCCAGGACUACAUUGAAAAUCUACUGUCCAAAGAAGAUGCCCUUGGUGUCCUCCAAGCCCUUACAGUGGCCUAAGCAAGCACCACUUGGUGAAGUCCAACUUCACGUCCCAGGAGAGAACCAGUGACACCUCAUCGAGAGGGUUAAGUCUGUCCUUACUCAGGGGGCAGAACCCAGAGCUCUGACAGUUCAGCCAGGGCUCGAGUAAGAGUGAGAGCUCUUCCUGCUUCAGUCUGCCACUCCUGGCCUCCCUGACACCUGCCUUGUCCAUGAAGAGUGUCAGCCUCCCCGCCUCGAGGCCCGUGAGCCCAUCCUCAACAGCCAUAGACAACAACAAGGUCAGGGAGACCAAGGAAGAAAAUCCGCAAAAGAAAUCUGUUAAGUAACUAGCCACACCCACCCAUUUUUUCCAAGGCAGCAAAUCUGUCCUAUAACUGGUGGCAUUAGUGACCAUUUUGCUACACAAAUAGUUGGUUGUGCCAGAAAGGAGGGGAGGGGGCACAUGGAAAACUUACCUAGCAACCGGUGACAUCACUCAUUUGAACUUGGAAGGAAAGGGACAACCCGGGAGCUCUUUCCUCCCCUGGAAUAGUACCGCUUCUGGUAAGUGGAACGCUCUGCUCUGGGAUUGGGGAACUCAGAAGAAGAAAUCAACUCUAUUGCUCACAGGGCUGGACCUAGUGUCCCCUUUCUCCCUGUGAAGUGGGGGCACCAUGUUGGCACGAUGGGAUGGGCAUCACAGCACUUUCCAGGACCCAACUUCCCAGUUAUCAUGGAGAUAGACAGUGUUCUCUCCAACCCCUCACCUCCACCACCAAACUGGAUCAGUGGGGUAGCUAACUUUUCCGGGGCUGCCCUCGCAGAAUGAAGCUGAGACGACAGUUCUGUGAGUUAAUAAAUGGGUCCGCUGGGACCCCCUGCACAGGCCAUGGGCAUAGUGUCCUUCCAGUGAGCGGCCCAGAUGUCAGCCUCCUCCUGCACAUACACCCUCAUCCCUGACAAACUGAGUAUCCAAUCUGGUGACCCCAGUUUCCCCCUGCCUUUGAGACCCCUCCAUGUCCUGGAGCUGAGCCAACCUGGGGGGGAACUUUGCAGCAAUCAGUAUCACGCAAUCUAGAAAGUGUGUUCAUCCCUAAAGCUAACUUGGUAAUUGGUGACCACACUAAAUCUAUCCCAUAACUCAUCUCACUACUCCUACCAAGAGGGUAGCUCGCCUAGAACAUUGAGGUCCUCACUAGCUGGCUGUUAUGCUUCGUUCUUACUCGGGAUAAGCUCCCUCACCCACUUGGGCCCUGGGAAGUAGAUCACCUGGUUUCCGUCGGCUCAGGACCAGGGAAUCGUGGAGGACUUGGGCCUUAUUAGGGUUAUCUGUGGGAAUAGGUAACACCGCCCUGCCUAUCUGAAUGUCAAAUGGAAUUAAGGGAACUCAGUGGGUAGAGGACCAAGGCCCCUUCUAGAAGCCACACCCCUUAGUGACUUCCUGGGCAAAAACCCUUCUCUCCCAUUGUGUACUCCCAAAGCUCAUGACCUUGAGAAUCAAUGCCAGCUUCCAUUACCACCCGCUCUGGUUCCCAGUCACUUCUCAAAGCUUCGCCUGCUCUGUUUUAGUUACCGCAAAUGUCUCUAAACAUCUUUUAUCACACUCCCCUAUCAGUGACAGCUUUUUGAAAAAAUAUCCCCAACCUAUGUAGAAAAUUUACAUGUGAAUUCCUGUCAUUCUAUCAAUACAAACUUGAUAUCAGUAAAGUUUCAUUUGUUUUGCUCAUUGAUUUUUUUUUUUUUAAAUAGAUGUAAGUAGAAAUCCUAAAUUUUUCUUCUUGCAUUCCCAAUGUAAUGGCUUCUCCUUCCCAAUUUGGAGAGCCCUGAAAAGGUCAGAGGCAGAGGCCCCCAGGCCCUUCCAGCCCCUGAGAUUCACCUCGGGGCCUCCUGCCUCCUCCCUUGCUCUCCAUGCACCCUGGGUCUGGGAUGACCCAGCUCCCGGAGCUGGAGGUGAGUGGAGUGGGCCUGAUCCACCUUCCACCCUCACCGUCACCUCUGUGUCUCUCCUCCCCUCUCAGAGUCACGUGGGCCACCAUGAACCAGUAUUGCCAAGUGUCUGGUGGGGUAAGAGAAAGGCCAGUGUGGACGAUGAGUCCUGCACUUGGAGUGGUAGUUGGAAGGUUGCUUUUUGUGAGGCUGUGGGGUGAGAAGUCCUGGCAUGGAGGACAACUUCCCAGGUGCUAUGAGAAGCCCUGCGCCCUUGUUAAUACCUGGACAAUGUAUUAACGGACGGGCCCUUGGCUGGUCUCCCUCUCCACCUCUCCUUUCAUUAAGUGGAUAUUGCAGGAGGCUCAGAGAAGAGAAAGGACAGCCCUGCAGUCAAACACCCAGUCAGUGACAGGUGGAGAGAGAAUCAAGGUUUUCUGGCUCCUAGUCUGGGAUCCUUUCGUUUUUCAUUUCCCCACCAGGUUAAACGCUUCUUGACCCUUGCGGCUGGGGUACCAGCAUGCAACCUACAUUACCCAGUCUGAGGUGCUCCCACAAGCUUGGAGGGAGAAUCGAGGACAUGUGAGGUGGCCUCUGCGUAUGGGGAGAUUGGUGGUCUUGGUGAAUGUUGGCUGGAAGCCUCCAGCCCCUCUGCAAUGGGCUGCGGAGGAAGAGGUACCUCGGCUAGGACGGUCUUGCAGCGUGGGUGGGUGAGUUUUGUUCUUAAUCGUGAUUUAGAUGACCAUGACAUUGGCUUGGGGAAGCCACAUGAGGCGCUUUAGCAAGUAGCUGCAGCUAAGACAGGAGUCUGCAAACUUUUCCUACAAAGGGCCAGAUGAUGUUUUUGGCUUUUCAGGACGUGGUCUCUCUGGCAUACAGUUGUCCCUCAGGAUUGCUUCCAGGACCCCCCCAACAGAUACCAAAAUCUUCAGAUCCUCAAGCUCCUUAUAUAAAAUUAUGUAGUAUUUGCAUAUAACCUACACACAUCCUCCUGUAUACUUUAAAUCAUCUCUAGAUUACUUAAUACAAUGUAAAUGCUAUGUAAAAAACAGCCAGUGUGGCAAAUUCAAGUUUUGCCUCCUGAAAUUAUUUUUCUAAUAUUUUCGAUCCACAUUUGGUUGAAUCCAUGGAUGUGGAACAUGUGCCUACAAAGGGGGCCGACUGUGUAACUAGAACUGUAAACAGAAAGAAAUUUUGUACUUUUGUAUAACUUGAUUGCCAUUUUAUAUAACAGGUCCUGUUUUACAAAUAAAUUUUGAUUUACUAGAAACAAAAACAAAGGGGGCUGACUGUAUUCUCUUUGUUGUUUGAUCUUUACAACUCUUUAAAAAUGUAAAAACCAUUCUUAGCUCACAGGCCAGAUUUAUCCCACACACAACACCCAUCGUUUGCCAACCCCUGAUCUAGGGCCAUGUGAUACCUACAAGAGAAUGCUGGUGACUAAACCAGGAUUUACUUUGAACUCCCUAGUUGGCCCACUUUGUGUCAGGCAGCCACCCAGAGGGUAUAACCAUCAGGCUGUCCAGCAGAAACAAAGGUGACCCGAGAGUGGUCGGGGGGCAGAAUCCUAAAUUUUCAAAAUGGUCUAUAUAACUCCCCCACCCCUUAGGUCUCAAGAGGUCGAUCAUCCAGGAGGCGGCCAAGAAGAGACGAAGCCUCUCUGGGAACACCCACAUUCAGUGACCCAACUGCCCGACUAAGCUGUGUGGACCAGGAGGAGAGGAAGAAGGACUUUUGGUUUCCAAACUGAUUAAUGUGUGGAAAUGAAGUGGAGGUUGCAUCUCUCCAUUACGAUGACUCACGUCAGAUUUCUACCUGCCAGACCUGGAGUCUUCCUGUUAUACAGGUUCCGCCCCCUAGGUUUCUCUCUUUUGGGCCAAGCCGGCCUCUCACGAAAAUGCUCGACGACUGCGAAAGGUGGCAAUUUG